GGGUUGUGAGGUUAAGCGACUAAGCGUACACGGUGGAUGCCCUGGCAGUCAGAGGCGAUGAAGGGCGUGCUAAUCUGCGAUAAGCGCCGGUAAGGUGAUAUGAACCGUUAUAACCGGCGAUACCCGAAUGGGGAAACCCAGUGUGAUUCGUCACACUAUCAUUAACUGAAUCCAUAGGUUAAUGAGGCGAACCGGGGGAACUGAAACAUCUAAGUACCCCGAGGAAAAGAAAUCAACCGAGAUUCCCCCAGUAGCGGCGAGCGAACGGGGAGGAGCCCAGAGCCUGAAUCAGCAUGUGUGUUAGUGGAAGCGUCUGGAAAGGCGCGCGAUACAGGGUGACAGCCCCGUACACAAAAGUGCAUGUGCUGUGAGCUCGAUGAGUAGGGCGGGACACGUGGUAUCCUGUCUGAAUAUGGGGGGACCAUCCUCCAAGGCUAAAUACUCCUGACUGACCGAUAGUGAACCAGUACCGUGAGGGAAAGGCGAAAAGAACCCCGGCGAGGGGAGUGAAAAAGAACCUGAAACCGUGUACGUACAAGCAGUGGGAGCACAGGUUUACCUGUGUGACUGCGUACCUUUUGUAUAAUGGGUCAGCGACUUAUAUUCUGUAGCAAGGUUAACCGUAUAGGGGAGCCGUAGGGAAACCGAGUCUUAACCGGGCGUUAAGUUGCAGGGUAUAGACCCGAAACCCGGUGAUCUAGCCAUGGGCAGGUUGAAGGUUGGGUAACACUAACUGGAGGACCGAACCGACUAAUGUUGAAAAAUUAGCGGAUGACCUGUGGCUGGGGGUGAAAGGCCAAUCAAACCGGGAGAUAGCUGGUUCUCCCCGAAAGCUAUUUAGGUAGCGCCUCGUGAACUCAUCUCCGGGGGUAGAGCACUGUUUCGGCUAGGGGGCCAUCCCGGCUUACCAACCCGAUGCAAACUGCGAAUACCGGAGAAUGUUAUCACGGGAGACACACGGCGGGUGCUAACGUCCGUCGUGAAGAGGGAAACAACCCAGACCGCCAGCUAAGGUCCCAAAGUCAUGGUUAAGUGGGAAACGAUGUGGGAAGGCCCAGACAGCCAGGAUGUUGGCUUAGAAGCAGCCAUCAUUUAAAGAAAGCGUAAUAGCUCACUGGUCGAGUCGGCCUGCGCGGAAGAUGUAACGGGGCUAAACCAU
This 1159-nucleotide ribosomal RNA is filed under the name Salmonella enterica subsp. enterica serovar Oslo. RNAcentral describes it as "partial 23S ribosomal RNA". It matches the Rfam family "Bacterial large subunit ribosomal RNA", at positions 1 to 1190 of the family's 2925-position model. Lineage: Bacteria; Pseudomonadati; Pseudomonadota; Gammaproteobacteria; Enterobacterales; Enterobacteriaceae. The record is from RNAcentral.